RNAcentral lists this ribosomal RNA (386 nucleotides) under uncultured eukaryote. RNAcentral describes it as "SSU rRNA". It matches the Rfam family "Eukaryotic small subunit ribosomal RNA", at positions 587 to 972 of the family's 1831-position model. The record is from RNAcentral.
AGCUCCAAUAGCGUAUAUUAAAGUUGUUGCAGUUAAAAAGCUCGUAGUUGGAUUUCUGUUUGGAGCGAUCGGUCCGUCUCUAACGAGUCGUGUACUUUGUGUUGUCUCUGAACAUCUUUGAGGAGAGUGCGUUUGUUAUUAAGUUAUCGGGCGUAGGAUCCUCAUCGUUUACUGUGAAAAAAUUAGAGUGUUUAAAGCAGGCAUUUGCAUUGAAUACAUUAGCAUGGAAUAAUAAGAUAGGACUUUGGCUCUAUUUUGUUGGUUUGCAAGCCAGGGUAAUGAUUAACAGGGACAGUUGGGGGUAUUCGUAUUUAAUUGUCAGAGGUGAAAUUCUUGGAUUUAUGAAAGACGAACUACUGCGAAAGCAUUUACCAAGGAUGUUUUCA